Molecule: ribosomal RNA, 509 nt
Filed under: uncultured bacterium
Lineage: Bacteria
Description: partial 16S ribosomal RNA
Rfam family: Bacterial small subunit ribosomal RNA
Source: RNAcentral
GACGAACGCUGGCGGCGUGCUUAACACAUGCAAGUCGAACGGAAAGGCCCUGCUUUUGUGGGGUGCUCGAGUGGCGAACGGGUGAGUAACACGUGAGUAACCUGCCCUUGACUUUGGGAUAACUUCAGGAAACUGGGGCUAAUACCGGAUAGGAGCUCCUGCUGCAUGGUGGGGGUUGGAAAGUUUCGGCGGUUGGGGAUGGACUCGCGGCUUAUCAGCUUGUUGGUGGGGUAGUGGCUUACCAAGGCUUUGACGGGUAGCCGGCCUGGGAGGGUGACCGGCAAUAUGGGGACGGAGAGACGGCCACUGCACCGAGGGGAGGCGGGGGUGGGGAAUAUAGCAGGAGGGGAGAAAGGAUGAUGCAGCAGCGCGGGGUGCGGGAUGACGGCUUGGGGGUGGUAAGCACUUUGCGGCGUGGAGGAGGCGUGGGUGAAGAUAAGGGGUAAAGAAGCACCGGAUAAAGACGGGCCAGCAGCCGCGAUAAUACGCGGAAGAGCACCCGUCUGAAC